UGGAUCCAGACUUUGAUUCUGGCUCAGGACGAACGCUGGCGGCGCGCCUAACACAUGCAAGUCGAACGGAGAUUACAGGCGGAAGUUUUCGGAUGGAAGCUUGUAAACUUAGUGGCGGACGGGUGAGUAACACGUGAGCAACCUGCCUAUCAGAGGGGGAUAACGAUUGGAAACGAUCGCUAAUACCGCAUGACAUAGCGGAACUGCAUGGUUCUGUUAUCAAAGAUUUUAUCGCUGAUAGAUGGGCUCGCGUCCGAUUAGAUAGUUGGUGGGGUAACGGCCUACCAAGUCGACGAUCGGUAGCCGGACUGAGAGGUCGAACGGCCACAUUGGGACUGAGACACGGCCCAGACUCCUACGGGAGGCAGCAGUGGGGGAUAUUGCACAAUGGGGGAAACCCUGAUGCAGCGACGCCGCGUGAGGGAAGACGGUCCUCUGGAUUGUAAACCUCUGUCUUCGGGGACGAAACGAGACGGUACCCGAGGAGGAAGCCACGGCUAACUACGUGCCAGCAGCCGCGGUAAUACGUAGGUGGCAAGCGUUGUCCGGAAUUACUGGGUGUAAAGGGAGCGUAGGCGGGCAGGCAAGUCAGGCGUGAAAUAUAUCGGCUCAACCGGUAACGGCGCUUGAAACUGCAGGUCUUGAGUGAAGUAGAGGUUGGCGGAAUUCCUAGUGUAGCGGUGAAAUGCGUAGAUAUUAGGAGGAACACCAGUGGCGAAGGCGGCCAACUGGGCUUUUACUGACGCUGAGGCUCGAAAGUGUGGGGAGCAAACAGGAUUAGAUACCCUGGUAGUCCACACCGUAAACGAUGAUUACUAGGUGUGGGGGGACUGACCCCUUCCGUGCCGGAGUUAACACAGUAAGUAAUCCACCUGGGGAGUACGGCCGCAAGGUUGCAACUCAAAGGAAUUGACGGA
Molecule: ribosomal RNA, 917 nt
Filed under: uncultured Bacillota bacterium
Lineage: Bacteria; Bacillati; Bacillota
Description: bacterial SSU rRNA
Rfam family: Bacterial small subunit ribosomal RNA
Source: RNAcentral